Molecule: ribosomal RNA, 497 nt
Filed under: uncultured bacterium
Lineage: Bacteria
Description: partial 16S ribosomal RNA
Rfam family: Bacterial small subunit ribosomal RNA
Source: RNAcentral
GAUGAACGCUGGCGGCGUGCCUAAUACAUGCAAGUCGAGCGAACGGACGAGAAGCUUUCUUCUCUGAUGUUAGCGGCGGACGGGUGAGUAACACGUGGAUAACCUACCUAUAAGACUGGGAUAACUUCGGGAAACCGGAGCUAAUACCGGAUAAUAUUUUGAACCGCAUGGUUCAAAAGUGAAAGACGGUCUUGCUGUCACUUAUAGAUGGAUCCGCGCUGCAUUAGCUAGUUGGUAAGGUAACGGCUUACCAAGGCAACGAUGCAUAGCCGACCUGAGAGGGUGAUCGGCCACACUGGCACUGAGACACGGUCCAGACUCCUACGGGAGGCAGCAGUAGGGAAUCUUACGCAAUGCGCGAAAGCCUGACGGAGCAACGCCGCGUGAGUGAUGAAGGUCUUCGGAUCGUAAAACUCUGUUAUUAGGGAAGAACAUAUGUGUAAGUAACUGUGCACAUCUUGACGGUACCUAAUCAGAAAGCCACGGCUAACUACGUG